UUUAAAGUCUGACCUGCCCUAUGAUAAUUUAAAUGGCCGCAGUAUUUUGACUGUGCAAAGGUAGCAUAAUAAUUAGUUUUUUAAUUGAAAGCUGGUAUGAAUGGUUGGACGAGAAAAUAACUGUCUUUAUUUAAUUUUAUUAGAAUUUUAUUUUUAAGUAAGAAAGCUUAAAUUUUAUUGAAAGACGAGAAGACCCUAUAGAAUUUUAUAUUUAUAUAAAUUUUAUUAUUUGUUUGUAUUAUUUAUUUAGAAUUUAUUAUAGUAUUUUGUUGGGGUGAUAAUAAAAUUUAAUUAACUUUUAUUUUUUUUUACAUUUAUUUAUGGUUUAUUGAUCCAUUUUUUAUGAUUAUAAGAUUAAAUUACCUUAGGGAUAACAGCGUAAUUUUUUUUUAAAGUUCUUAUUAAAAAAAGAGUUUGCGACCUCGAUGUUGGAUUAAAAUUAACUGUUGGUGUAGUGGCUGAUAGGUUAGGUCUGUUCGACCUUUAAAAUUUUACAUGAUCUGAGUUUAAACCGGUGUGAGCCAGGUUGGUUUUUAUCUUUAAUUCAUUAAAAUAUUUUAGUACGAAAGGACCAAAUAUUUAUAAUAUUUAUUUUUUUUUAUUGAAUAUUAUUG
This 614-nucleotide ribosomal RNA is filed under the name Astaena sp. BMNH 671334. RNAcentral's name for it is "partial 16S large subunit ribosomal RNA". The stretch from base 370 to 528 matches the Rfam family "Bacterial large subunit ribosomal RNA", at positions 2473 to 2632 of the family's 2925-position model. The record is from RNAcentral. Lineage: Eukaryota; Metazoa; Arthropoda; Insecta; Coleoptera; Scarabaeidae.